AAACCCAUUUACUUUAGGAGGAGAUAGGAUUCCAUUCGUGAGACGCCUGUGGCUGCUUCUGUUGGAUUUGGUGGCAGUCCUUUCUGCAUUUCUCAGAGGAUCAUCAGUGCAACACCCUGAGGAAAGCAGUAACAUAGAAAUUACACAGUUCUACUGGAGAUUCACCUUUAUCCAAAUCGAAGAUGAAGCAUUUUGGGGGCAAUAAUAGGAUGUUAGUUGUUAAUUCUGGGUCCUGGGAAUAUGAGGGAGUUUAGUUAUCUAUAUUUUAUAUUCCUCUUUGUUUAAAAUUUAAUAAGUUUCCAGCACUUUGGGAGGCCGAGACGGGCGGAUCACGAGGUCAGAAGAUCGAGACCAUCCUGGUUAACACGGUGAAACCUCGUCUCUACUAAAAAAAAUACAAAAAACUAGCCGGGCGAGGUGGCGGGCGCCUGUAGUCCCAGCUACUCGGGAGGCUGAGGCAGGAGAAUGUCGUAAACCUGGGAGGCGGAGCUUGCAGUGAGCUGAGAUCCGGCCACUGCACUCCAGCCUGGGCGACAGAGCGAGACUCCGUCUCAAAAAAAAAAAAAAAAAAAAAUUAAUAAGUUUAAAAAAACAUCAAAAUGCCAUGAUUAUUUUACUUUGAGAUAUUUAAGGAUUACGGACACUUUGAAAAUAUACACAAAGUAAGAGUCUGGCACAUACAUAUGCCUAACAUAGCAAAACUGUGUCAUUCCAGAGAUUUUGGCAUGUUGAAUGGGCACUGUGGUGUUCUACAAUCUUCAAGAACAGUACACUUACACCUUCAGUAAGAACUCCAGCUUCCCUGCAGCUUUAUUUCCUGAAGAGGUCAUGCUGACCAGAGAGGCGGCCACACUGAGCUUCCGAACCACCGUCCCCCCGCUUACAGCUCUGCAAGAGCUCCUUCCGCGAGGAAUACCUUCCAGUUGUUCUCACCUUAAAUGCUGCUCUUCAUCCAUCGGUAGCUGGGAAGUGGCUCAUGUCAUCCCUGCAUGAAACAGAGAAGUGGAGCGGGAGUUACCCAGCCUGUGCCCCACCAGGGCUUUUUCAGGCGUGGACAUUGGAGAGCAAAACCAGCCUUCAACCUUGCCUCGUGGCACACGAGAGGAGAAACUUCUGGAAGCACCUCCACACUCUCUAAUAGGAUCUGGCAUAGGCAUCAAGGUAGAGAGUCUAUCUGUGAAGACCAUUGUGUGGGUAAAGGGUUUAGAUAUUGUAGUAAACCACUUACUUCUCUUUCCCAUGUUCCUUGAUUAUGGCGGAAACAUUAGAAAAAAAAAUCCCGGUUGUGCAAAGAAAAAUUAUGCAAAUGUCAGUAAUACAUUCAAAUGUAUUAAAAUAAGUCAUAUUAAAAGAAGUUAUUAAAAAAUGUUUUCAGGGUUCAUCCAUGUUGUAAGAGGUAUCAGAACUUCACUCCUUUUUAUGCCUUAAUUAUAUUUUAUUGUUUGUAUAUACUAUAGUUUUUAAAUCCAGUCAUCUGCUGGGUUGUUUCCACGUUUUGACAAUUGUCACUACAGCUACUUUCACUUUUUUUUUUUUUUGAGAUGGAGUCUUACUCUGUCGCCCAGGCUGGAGUGCAGUGGCACAAUCUUGGCUCACUGCAAGCUCCGCCUCCCUUGUUCAAGCGAUUCUCCUGCCUCAGCCUCCAGAGUAGCUGGAACUGCAGGUACCCACCACCACACCUGGCUAAUUUUUUGUAUUUUUAGUAGAGAGGGGGUUUCAUCGUGUUAGCCAGGAUGGUCUCGAUGUCCUGCCCUUGUGAUCCGCCCACCUCUGCCUCCCAAAGUGCUGGGAUUACAGGCGUGAGCCACCGCACCAGGCCAACAUUUUUUUACAAACAGAAGUUAAAUGCUUAUAAAACUGAAUGGUAAUGCGGUAUUGCCUAAGUUC
Macaca mulatta (Rhesus monkey) is the source of this 1887-nucleotide long non-coding RNA. Lineage: Eukaryota; Metazoa; Chordata; Mammalia; Primates; Cercopithecidae. The record is from Ensembl.